UCAUUGAGCAAUCUAAAGGGAAAUCUCCCCGAGCUCGCAUAAUCAAGAUGACAGUAACAGAAUGCUCUAUGGUUUAUGGUUAGAAAGAAAUGCGAGAAUCUUUGAAAAAAACUGUGAUAAGCUCCUCAGUAGUAUAGCCUAUAUAUUUAAUGUUCGAGCUCCUCCUAGGCUUAGUUCAUAUAUUCAGCAGUUCAUGUUAUAACUGCUGACUUGGCUCGAGUAGUAUAGGUAAUCUUUUGUCCAGUUUGAUAGGCA
Molecule: long non-coding RNA, 255 nt
Filed under: Nicotiana benthamiana
Lineage: Eukaryota; Viridiplantae; Streptophyta; Magnoliopsida; Solanales; Solanaceae
Description: long non-coding RNA (NBEN_LNC005985)
Source: RNAcentral